CUGGCAGCGUAGUACUGUACUAGACAGAGAGUGGACUGGCAGGGAAGUACUGUACUGGACAGAGAGUGGACUGGCAGGGUAGUACUGUACUGGACAGAGAGUGGACUGGCAGGGUAGUACUGUACUGGUGGACUGGCAGGGAAGUACUGUACUGGACAGAGAGUGGACUGGCAGGGAAGUACUGUACUGGUGGACUGGCAGGGAAGUACUGUACUGGACAGAGAGUGGACUGGCAGGGAAGUACUGUACUGGACAGAGAGUGGACUGGCAGGGUAGUACUGUACUGGACAGAGAGUGGACUGCCAGGGAAGUACUGUACUGGACAGAGAGUGGACUGGCAGGGUAGUACUGUACU
Molecule: long non-coding RNA, 355 nt
Filed under: Salmo salar (Atlantic salmon)
Lineage: Eukaryota; Metazoa; Chordata; Actinopteri; Salmoniformes; Salmonidae
Description: lncRNA (ENSSSAG00000121046.1)
Source: RNAcentral